This 301-nucleotide ribosomal RNA is filed under the name uncultured bacterium. RNAcentral describes it as "partial 16S ribosomal RNA". It matches the Rfam family "Bacterial small subunit ribosomal RNA", at positions 509 to 807 of the family's 1533-position model. The record is from RNAcentral.
CAGCCGCCGCGGGAAUACAGAGGGUGCGAGCGUUAAUCGGAUUUACUGGGCGUAAAGCGUGCGUAGGCGGCUUUUUAAGUCGGAUGUAAAAUCCCUGAGCUUAACUUAGGAAUUGCAUUCGAUACUGGGAAGCUAGAGUAUGGGAGAGGAUGGUAGAAUUCCAGGUGUAGCGGUGAAAUGCGUAGAGAUCUGGAGGAAUACCGAUGGCGAAGGCAGCCAUCUGGCCUAAUACUGACGCUGAGGUACGAAAGCAUGGGGAGCAAACAGGAUUAGAUACCCGUGUAGUCCCUGUCUCUUAUAC